UCCGUAGGGUAACCUGCGGAGGGAUCAUUACCGAGACUCGUGCCCCUCCACGGGGCCGACCUCCCACCCCAUGUGAUGUUACCAUGUUGCCUCGGCGGGUCGCGACGCCGGGCUCCCGGCGUGCGUCUGCCAGAGGGCCCCCCAACUCAAUUGUCUGUGUCGUCUGAGUCUAAUAGAUAGAAAUUCAUGAAAACUUUCAACAACGGAUCUCUUGGUUCUGGCAUCGAUGAAGAACGCAGCGAAAUGUGAUAAGUAAUGUGAAUUGCAGAAUUCAGUGAAUCAUCGAAUCUUUGAACGCACAUUGCGCCCCUCGGUAUUCCGGGGGGCAUGCCUGUUCGAGCGUCACCUCAACCCUCACGCGUAGCGUGGUCUUGAGCGUCCCGGUUCCGCCGGGUGCUCCAAAAGCAGUGGCGGUGCUGCCAGGUACCGAGCGUAGUACAUGUAACAUUCGCUACGGCAUGCCUGGUGGUCCCUGCGAUCACAAUUGUCACCAAUAUGACCUCGGAUCAGGUAGGGAUACCCGCUGAACUUAAGCAUAUCAAUAAGCGGAGGA
RNAcentral lists this ribosomal RNA (553 nucleotides) under Cyttaria johowii. Its description in RNAcentral is "eukaryotic LSU rRNA". The stretch from base 192 to 345 matches the Rfam family "5.8S ribosomal RNA". The record is from RNAcentral. Lineage: Eukaryota; Fungi; Ascomycota; Leotiomycetes; Helotiales; Cyttariaceae.